UAGUGAUGGAAAAAUGAAUUCACCAGCAAAGGAACAAUAUGGACAAUAACAAUACAUUAGUAAGUGCCUUGUAUUAACUUUCUCUACAUGAUAAAUGACAUUUGCAGAGUGAGAGAACUC
This is a long non-coding RNA of Bufo bufo (common toad), 120 nucleotides long. RefSeq lists it as uncharacterized. The transcript has 3 exons. Lineage: Eukaryota; Metazoa; Chordata; Amphibia; Anura; Bufonidae. The record is from RefSeq and is a predicted model, not a curated record.